GAUGAACGCUAGCUACAGGCUUAACACAUGCAAGUCGAGGGGCAGCAUGUCGGUUGCUUGCAACCGAUGAUGGCGACCGGCGCACGGGUGAGUAACGCGUAUCCAACCUGGCCCACAGGUAGGGAACACGCCCGGCGAAAGUCGGAUUAAUGCCCUAUGUUUCCUUAGAGAGCAUUUGAUGAGGAACAAAGAUUUAUCGCUAUGGGAUGGGGAUGCGUCUGAUUAGGUAGUAGGCGGGGUAACGGCCCACCUAGCCGACGAUCAGUAGGGGUUCUGAGAGGAAGGUCCCCCACAUUGGAACUGAGACACGGUCCAAACUCC
RNAcentral lists this ribosomal RNA (321 nucleotides) under uncultured Prevotella sp. RNAcentral describes it as "bacterial SSU rRNA". It matches the Rfam family "Bacterial small subunit ribosomal RNA", at positions 28 to 339 of the family's 1533-position model. The record is from RNAcentral. Lineage: Bacteria; Pseudomonadati; Bacteroidota; Bacteroidia; Bacteroidales; Prevotellaceae.